GACGGAGGGGGCAAGCGUUGUUCGGAAUUACUGGGCGUAAAGAGCGCGUAGGCGGCUUACCAAGUUGGGGGUGAAAUCCCGGAGCUCAACUCCGGAACUGCCUUCAAAACUGGUAGGCUCGAGUCCGGAAGAGGGGCGUGGAAUUCCCAGUGUAGAGGUGAAAUUCGUAGAUAUUGGGAAGAACACCGGUGGCGAAGGCGGCGCCCUGGUCCGGUACUGACGCUGAGGAGCGAAAGCGUGGGGAGCAAACAGG
This 253-nucleotide ribosomal RNA is filed under the name uncultured bacterium. RNAcentral's name for it is "partial 16S ribosomal RNA". It matches the Rfam family "Bacterial small subunit ribosomal RNA", at positions 524 to 776 of the family's 1533-position model. The record is from RNAcentral.